AACAAAAACAUCUCUUUUUGAUUUUUAUAUAAAGUAUAACCUGCCCACUGAUAUUAUUAAAUGGCCGCAGUAUUUUGACUGUGCAAAGGUAGCAUAAUAAUUAGUUUUUUAAUUAAAAGCUUGUAUGAAUGGUUGAACGAGGUAAAUUCUGUCUUUAAUUGAUUUAAAAUUGAAUUUAAUUUUUAAGUUAAAAAGCUUAAAUUUUUUUAAAAGACGAGAAGACCCUAUAGAUCUUUAUUAUUUUUUUUAAAAUAAUUUAUUUAGAAAUUUAUUUAUUAUUUUAUUUAUAUAAUUUUAUUGGGGUAAUAUAAAGAUUAAAUAAAUUCUUUAUUUUUAAAACAUAAAUUUAUGAUUUUUAUGAUCCAGUUUUAUUGAUUAUAAGAUUAAGUUACUUUAGGGAUAACAGCGUAAUUUUUUUAAAGAGU
This 425-nucleotide ribosomal RNA is filed under the name Gyrinus madagascariensis. RNAcentral's name for it is "partial 16S ribosomal RNA". The stretch from base 1 to 153 matches the Rfam family "Archaeal large subunit ribosomal RNA", at positions 1898 to 2097 of the family's 2987-position model. The record is from RNAcentral. Lineage: Eukaryota; Metazoa; Arthropoda; Insecta; Coleoptera; Gyrinidae.